This 534-nucleotide ribosomal RNA is filed under the name Bifidobacterium longum subsp. suillum. RNAcentral's name for it is "bacterial SSU rRNA". It matches the Rfam family "Bacterial small subunit ribosomal RNA", at positions 154 to 703 of the family's 1533-position model. The record is from RNAcentral. Lineage: Bacteria; Bacillati; Actinomycetota; Actinomycetes; Bifidobacteriales; Bifidobacteriaceae.
AAACGGGUGGUAAUGCCGGAUGCUCCAGUUGAUCGCAUGGUCUUCUGGGAAAGCUUUCGCGGUAUGGGAUGGGGUCGCGUCCUAUCAGCUUGACGGCGGGGUAACGGCCCACCGUGGCUUCGACGGGUAGCCGGCCUGAGAGGGCGACCGGCCACAUUGGGACUGAGAUACGGCCCAGACUCCUACGGGAGGCAGCAGUGGGGAAUAUUGCACAAUGGGCGCAAGCCUGAUGCAGCGACGCCGCGUGAGGGAUGGAGGCCUUCGGGUUGUAAACCUCUUUUAUCGGGGAGCAAGCGAGAGUGAGUUUACCCGUUGAAUAAGCACCGGCUAACUACGUGCCAGCAGCCGCGGUAAUACGUAGGGUGCAAGCGUUAUCCGGAAUUAUUGGGCGUAAAGGGCUCGUAGGCGGUUCGUCGCGUCCGGUGUGAAAGUCCAUCGCUUAACGGUGGAUCCGCGCCGGGUACGGGCGGGCUUGAGUGCGGUAGGGGAGACUGGAAUUCCCGGUGUAACGGUGGAAUGUGUAGAUAUCGGGAA